This is a non-coding RNA of Xiphophorus maculatus (southern platyfish), 44 nucleotides long. The record is from Rfam. Lineage: Eukaryota; Metazoa; Chordata; Actinopteri; Cyprinodontiformes; Poeciliidae.
AAAACGGCCCUUUUAAGGGCCAAACACAUUUCUUUAAGAAGCUG